RNAcentral lists this long non-coding RNA (955 nucleotides) under Equus asinus (donkey). RNAcentral's name for it is "lncRNA (ENSEASG00005035392.1)". Lineage: Eukaryota; Metazoa; Chordata; Mammalia; Perissodactyla; Equidae. The record is from RNAcentral.
AGACUCAAAAAAUUCCUAGCAAUAUAAAAUAGACGUAUUUUUCUUUUUGAAAAUCCUUGAUGUAUUGUUACAGCUUAAGUUCCUCAGAGUUUGGGAUGCAAAAGGUUUAUUGGGAAUUAACCCCUGUGGGAGAUAGGGGGCAAAAGCAAGAUUGGGUAGAGGAGGAAGUCCAUCCCUGAAGUGGAACCGGCAAAACCUUGGGCAAGCUUGCGGGCACCUCGGGAGAGAGCAUUACCUGUCAAGGCCUUGGGCCAAAAUGGCUGGGCUUUCGUGUCCCUGCCUGGCUCAGUCACAAGAAGCAGUUUGGCCCAGGUAGGGUGAGGCUGGGGGCAAGGUGACUGCAACUAAGCUGACCCUGAAGGAGCUGCCUGCUGGAGGCUGCUUGCUGACUGCUAUUCAUGCGCCCGCACAGGGGGAUGAGGGCAGCGCAUCUCCACGUCUUCCAAAAUUCUGCGAAUGUUUUCUGCCAUAUUCACUGAAGGAAGAUAUUCAUCUGAGCAGAAAAAUAACAGAUCAUUGCAGUUGUGAAUCUUGUCAAAGGACAAAUGAAAAUAUGUUCAUUUUGGAUAAGAGAUGAGUUACAAAGUGCCUGCUUUUAUUAAAUGUCGUGGGAUCAGGCCAGACCCUGGGGCUGAGUGUUUGGGGCUCUUCUUGCUCUGCUUCAGCAGCCCAGGGUUUGCUGUUCGGAUCCUGGGCACAGACCUCUACUCAUCGGCCAUGCUGUGGAGGCAACCCACCUACAAAACAGAGGAAGACUGGCAUAGAUGUUAUCUCAUGGCUAACCUUCCUCAAGCAAAAAAAAAAAAAAAAAUAUCAUGGGAAAAAAUUAAAUAUCAAUCAGAUUAACAUUAACUGAAAGUUCAGUUAAGGUUAUUUUUCCUAAAAUAAAGUUGCUUUUUGUUGUUGUUCCAAACUCAAUACUUGAUAUCAGAAAGUAUAAACAAAAGAAGAAAAC